This 253-nucleotide ribosomal RNA is filed under the name uncultured bacterium. Its description in RNAcentral is "partial 16S ribosomal RNA". It matches the Rfam family "Bacterial small subunit ribosomal RNA", at positions 524 to 776 of the family's 1533-position model. RNAcentral also lists the same sequence under 1 other name. The record is from RNAcentral.
UACAGAGGGUGCGAGCGUUGUCCGGAAUCACUGGGCGUAAAGGGCGCGUAGGCGGCCUGAUAAGUAGGGGGUGAAAUCCUGUGGCUUAACUGCAGGGCUGCCUCCUAGACUGUUAGGCUCGAGCACGGUAGAGGCAGAUGGAAUUCCCGGUGUAGCGGUGGAAUGCGUAGAGAUCGGGAAGAACAUCGGUGGCGAAGGCGGUCUGCUGGGCCGUUGCUGACGCUGAGGCGCGACAGCGUGGGGAGCAAACAGG